Molecule: ribosomal RNA, 243 nt
Filed under: uncultured bacterium
Lineage: Bacteria
Description: partial 16S ribosomal RNA
Rfam family: Bacterial small subunit ribosomal RNA
Source: RNAcentral
UAACGCGUGAGGAACCUGCCUUCCAGAGGGGGACAACAGUUGGAAACGACUGCUAAUACCGCAUGAUACGUUGGAGCCGCAUGACUCCGAUGUCAAAGAUUUAUCGCUGGAAGAUGGCCUCGCGUCUGAUUAGCUAGUUGGUGAGGUAACGGCCCACCAAGGCGACGAUCAGUAGCCGGACUGAGAGGUUGGCCGGCCACAUUGGGACUGAGAUACGGCCCAGACUCCUACGGAAGGCAGCAG